CCAGUGGUCGAGUGCCCCUGAGUUCAAUCCCCAGUACCAAAAAAAAAAAAAAAAAUUAAUGGUCUGGGGCUGUAGCUCAGUGGCACUGGGUUCAAUCCUCAGCACCACAUAAAAAUAAAUAAAGCUAUUGUGUCCAACUACAACUAAAAAUUUUUUUUUAAUUUAAAUUAAGAUUUAUUUAGAUAACAAUUUUGGAGGCUAAAAGUCCAAGAGGAACCCCCAUUGAUUCAGUUUCUGUUAAGAGCUCCCAUUGCUACAUCAUGAUGUUAUGGGAAGCUACUUCAGAAAACACUCAAAGUCCGAAUUCAAAUCAAUGAGAGCUUUACUUACCUGGCCAGGGUCGGUCACCUACCCAUAGAGAAUGAAGCUCUGUGGGAGAACAGCAAUUUCCUGGCCUAUAUCCUGGGAACCUGAAGAUGAAAACCACAUCUCAGUGGAUUUCCUUAGCAUCAUGCAAACAGGCCAAUCAUAGAAGCUAAGACAGCAAUUAGUACAGCAACUCACAAUCACAUCUUGGGUUUGAGUGGGUGUUAGACAACCGUAUCUUGAGUUCAAGUGGGUAGUUAGCAGGGGCAUGAAUCUUAAUCAAAGUCUUGGGUCACCAAGACUACCAUAGCCUGGGCUGAGUACAUUUUUGUGGGGUACAAAGUACAGAAAACUAUAUAUUAUAAGAAAAUAGCUUUCAUUUAAGUUUCUCAGAAACAGCUCUUGUAACAGUUUUUUUAUAGAAGGCAGCAAAAUGGAGCCGUAGGCCUGUCUAUGACAGUCUUGCUUUAUAAUUAUCUUAUUUCACUUAUCAAAAUCUUAUGUCUAUAAUCUAUACUUUUUACUAAUCCAUAACCUAUAACUUACACUCUUAUUGGUUGUAUUUAUCAGUACACACCACAAAAAUGACAUGGUGGGUGGCAUCAUGGUAGAAAUGUGCACAGAAGAGAUCAUAUGGUAGGGGACACAGUAUAUCCAAACCAAAGUAGAAAGAUGAACAGGGAUGUCAUCAGAAAGGAGAUCAGGGCCCAGAAUGGAGGACCCUAGAGGGCAAUAGCACAACAAUGGGUUGUAAGUGUAACAGGGUUUUAGAGAUAGAAGGGGCUAGAAGUCUAGACUGGCAUCUCCAAAGUGAACAUGAACAAAGGCAAACAGACUCUCUGAAGCCACAUGGCCAUGGAUGGCUACCCUGAGGCUGACCUGGGACCCCCUGAGCCAAUCAGAAGGGGCCUCUUUCUCUGCUGUUGGCAGUAACCUCAGAGAGGGCAUUCAGAAGCAAUGGGUGUUGGAGAUACAGAGAACACUUAACAUCAGUAGAGAACUUUGAACAGCAUGUCUGCUCCUCAUUCCCAGUCCCUAUCAAACCCCGCAGUUUUCUGUCCUUCCUUCCAGGACUGUAUCUCUAUAGUACAUUCCACAUUCUACUCAGGCCACCUUUAGCUGAUUUCUCUUUCUUAAAACCAGACAAUGCGGGCCUGGGAUGUGGCUCAAGCGGUAGCGCGCUCGCCUGGCAUGCGUGCGGCCCAGGUUCGAUCCUCAGCACCACAUACAAACAAAGAUGUUGUGUCCGCCAAAUACUAAAAAAUAAAUAUUAAAAAAUUCUCUCUCUCUCUACCUCUAUCUCUCUCACUCUCUCUUUAAAAAAAAAAAAAAAACCAGACAAUGCCUUAAGCAGUAACCACCUGCUUGAACUGGGGUGGAACACCAGAGGCUGCGAUAUACUGUAACUGGCUGGAAUAGUCAGCUCCAGAUUUGAAGAAUUGUGAGGAUCUCUUCCCAAUUCAUGUUCAGUGAUGCCAUGUCAGCUGUAGUGGUAGUAUUUACACCACAAAAAAUAGCAAAUGUUGGGCUGGGGAUGUGGCUCAAGCGGUAACGCGCUCGCCUGGCAUGUGCAGUGCGCUUGGUUCGAUCCUUAGCACCACAUAAAAAUUAAAAAAAAAAAAAGAAAAAAUAAAGAUGUUGUGUCCACUGAAAACCAAAAAAUAAAUAUUAAAAAAAUUCUCUCUCUCUCUCUCUCUUAAGUUAGCAAAUGUUAUGGAUUAGGGUUUUUUCCAGAAAGUUGGAUGUGACAUCAUCAUGGUUUAGAAUACGUUGUCCCCCAAAAGUUCAUGUAUAAGAUAAUACCAGAAAGUUCAGAGGUGAAAUUUUUAGAUUAUGAGAAUUGCAACCUAAUCAGUGGAUUAAUUCUACUUAUAUGAAUUAUAAGUAUACAAAUUAUUAAUUCUACUUACAUUUAUUAACUGUGUGGUGACUGUAGGCAGAUAGGGUAUGACUGGAGAAAAUAGGACACUAGGGGCAUGACUUUAGGGUUUAUAUUUUGUCCCUAGUGAGCAAAGUUCCCUUCUGCUUCCUGGAUGUGAUGUCCUGAGAUGCUUUCCUCCACCACACCCUUCUGCCAUGAUGUUCUGCUUCCCCCUUUGCCCAGAGCAAUGAAGUUUGCCAACCAUGGACUGAACCUUGGAAAAUGAGCCAAAAUAAUUUUUUCCUCCUCUAAGUUAUUCGUGUCAGGUCUUUUGAUCACAGCUACACAAAGCUAAAGCAAACAUUUACUGGUACCCUCAGCUAGAGGCAAGGACCACCAGGCCAGAGAGUCAGAGGUUAUAUCCUCUGCACUUCCCAUCCCAGGUAAAUUAAGCUCUCUGGCCAGUGUCUUCAUUGUAAAAUGGGGAUAAGGACAGAGCUUGUCAUGGUGUGUCAUGACAAUGAAAUAAGAUAACACAUAUGAAAUGCUUAGAAAAGUGCCUUAACGGAUAAUAACAUAUCAGAUGACUUAAUACACAUUAUGUACUAGUUAAUACUGCUUAAAAUAAUAUAUAGUAUUAUUCCUAUUGAAAUCAGGAAUAAAACUGAGAAUUUGUAUGUGUAUGUGUGUGUGAUGAUUAAUUUGAAUUGUCGACUUGAUUGGAUUAAGAGAUACUGAAGAUUAAGAGGCCUCUGGGUGUGUCAAUGAGGGUGCGUCUAGGAAUGAUUGGUAUGUGGAAUAGCAAAUUGAAGUGGAGACCCGCCCUCAGCGUGGGCAGCACCAUCCAAUAGGUUGGAAGCUUGGAUGGAAGAAAAGUUGAAAGAACAAGGAAACUGCAGCAGAUGCAAGCUUGAUUCUUCCUGAACAGUUUCUUGAUUGCUGUUGUGAUCACCUGAAGAUAUCAGACUCUCGCUCCUUCAGUCUUCCAAAGUGGACUCUGCCAGUGAUUCUCCAGGGAGUUUCCAGAAGCCUUAAGUCUCCAUUGAUCCCUCCUGUUCUGAGGCUUCAGCAUCUGGGACUGUGCAGAUACUGGUUCCUCCAGCUCUCCAGCCUUCAGUCAUUGUGGACUAUCUCACUUCUGGUUUCGUAAGCCAAUCUAAUAAAUACC
Molecule: long non-coding RNA, 3335 nt
Filed under: Marmota monax (woodchuck)
Lineage: Eukaryota; Metazoa; Chordata; Mammalia; Rodentia; Sciuridae
Source: RNAcentral